RNAcentral lists this ribosomal RNA (427 nucleotides) under uncultured bacterium. Its description in RNAcentral is "partial 16S ribosomal RNA". It matches the Rfam family "Bacterial small subunit ribosomal RNA", at positions 355 to 774 of the family's 1533-position model. The record is from RNAcentral.
UGGGGAAUAUUGGACAAUGGGCGCAAGCCUGAUGCAGCCAUGCCGCGUGUAUGAAGAAGGCCUUCGGGUUGUAAAGUACUUUCAGCGAGGAGGAAGGCAUUAAGGUUAAUAACCUUGGUGAUUGACGUUACUCGCAGAAGAAGCACCGGCUAACUCCGUGCCAGCAGCCGCGGUAAUACGGAGGGUGCAAGCGUUAAUCGGAAUUACUGGGCGUAAAGCGCACGCAGGCGGUCUGUCAAGUCGGAUGUGAAAUCCCCGGGCUCAACCUGGGAACUGCAUUCGAAACUGGCAGGCUAGAGUCUUGUAGAGGGGGGUAGAAUUCCAGGUGUAGCGGUGAAAUGCGUAGAGAUCUGGAGGAAUACCGGUGGCGAAGGCGGCCCCCUGGACAAAGACUGACGCUCAGGUGCGAAAGCGUGGGGAGCAAACA